AUUACUGCUGCUGCUGUCUAUAACUCGAGUAUCGUGAGCACACUUCCGUGGGCUUAAGCGAGAUAAUCGGUUUCCCACAACGGACUCGCCUUCGCUUUUUCGUUUGUUUUAAGGUCGGUUUCGCCCGCCCUCCAGCCCGCGCACAAAGCCCAGCCAGAGAAUCCGGCUAUCUGGUCCAAAGCUCAGCCCUGCAUAUUCAUUUCUGAUCAUUUGUGUGUUCGCUUCCUGUGGAAGGGCUGAAAUUUAGUGAUGAAGAUGUUGUGCAUGCAAAAAGUCUCAGGAAUUUCCAUGCAAGUCUCAGGAAAGCCCAUCUAAAACCCUGCUAGUCAGGUUAGACAAUAUUGAACUAGAUGAAUUAACUGUUUUAACUUAUAAGACAGUUUCAUACAUUCCUCCGUUUAAAGUGUUGCUUUUUAUAUUUCUCAUUGUAAUAAAGUCUUUUAGCAUAUGCAGAGUGCUUUCCACUGGCAAUAGUAAUGAUUACCCAUAGACAUAGCUUUAUAUAAGUUGAAUCCAGGGUUUACCUUCCAUACCUUCUGCUCAUGGAAGGUACCUCUGUCUGAUUUUCAGGUAUAUCCCUCUCCUCCCUACACCACAGCUCACCCCAUUCACCAGGGUCCCCUAACCUUCUGUGUAACAUUUUCAGAGGCCUGGAGAAGCUGCUGUGGGGAGGAGAGGGCAAGGAAAUCUGCUUUCACCAGCUCAGCUACACACACCUAAAUCUGGAUUCAACCCUUUUGGUCUUAUGACUCACUGAACUGUCCUAUUGAUAAAUUAACUUUAUUGCACAAGGCCUUUUACAAAAAAAUCUCAUUGCCCAUUAAAUGAAUAUAUAAUAUACUUAAGCUGCACCAAUACAUCAGUUCAUUAAAAUCAUUAAAAUAUUUUCCUUUAAAACUUGCACAGAGUUUCCUAGCUGCUGCAGUAAACCUAAUAAGUAAGGUAACACCAGUCUAUGGAUAAUCAUGUCACAAUAUUUGGUGGCAUUUUAACCUGAGUACUGUGAAAGAAUACCUAAUAAGUUUUGUCCUUAAUAAUGUUUUUUUUUAAAAAAAACAAUUUAAACUUUUAAAAAUCAAACUGGAUGAAUAGACUUUGCUUGCAUAUAGGUAUGCGUGCUUCUCAGCAGUAAGUCCCACUAUGGGUCAUGGGGUUUACUCCAUGGUAUGCUCACAUAGGAUUGCAGCUAAGGCUGCAAUGCUAUACAUAUAUAUGUGGGAAUAAAUCUCAUUGAAGGCUGUGGGAAUUACUGAAUAAACAUGCAUAGAAUGGUGCUGUCAGGCUCUGAAAUGAUGGGUCAGGACCCCUGAGUGGCAUGUGUGUGCAGGAAUUUGAAUGGAUGAAUCUGGGGGUGAACUGCUGCUCUUUGGAGAUAAGCAGCAGUGAUGGGUGGGAUUAGCCUUCAUUUGACCUUUGGAAAUCUGUCAAAUUUCUAAUUUUGGAAGGUUGUAUUUGUCUUACGACUUUUUGACUUAUGACCUUAGAUCUUUUGGGCCAUAAUUCAAAAAGAUCUGGAAAUGGAAUGGAGUGAGAAAUACUAGGGGAGAGCGCUACAAUCGUUGCAGCCUGUAACAGGAAGGGACACCAAAUGCUGGCAGGAUGCAGCUUUCUGUAGGGGAUGGCCUCACAUCCAGAAUAUGUCCUGGUGACUAAAAGGAAGCUGACAGAACGGUUUCCUGCUUAUAGGAUAAUGGUCAUUCUGGAACCAGGUUUAGGAGUCCCCUGAAUGGCAGAGGACAUUACACAGUUCCUGAAAUGCAGCCUUGAAACAAGGAUAUUACACAGUGGCCCUGGGCGUUCAGAAGACACCUUAAACAACGGCUUGAAGACGCCUUAAAAAGCCUUAUUCACUGUGGUUAAAGCCAUCUUCUGAACAGUGUGGGCUGCGAACUCCUUUGUAGUAUCAUACCCUGGCUAAAAGAAACAGGCUGAAUUUAAACUGCCUGAAUUUAUUUAUUUAUUCAUUAUUAUUUAUUUCUUGCAUUUUUAUACUGCCCAAUAGCUGAAGCUCCCUGGGCAAUUAGUGCAGAUCAAAAACUUGUGGCUGGUAACGAUGAGUUAUUGUAAUAACAUUCCUUGUAAUCAUAUAGCGUUUUCCCUCAGUGCUCAAAGCAUUCCAUUCUCAAUGAUCCCAACAGCCCUGAAAGGCAAGAGUAGUGACUCUUUUUUGAUCUGGGCGGCCAAAUUCUAAUUUGGGAAGGGUCUCAUGACCUACAUUCUAGCAGUGGUUGGAGCAAAGGUCACAGGCUUUAAGGUGUACAAACCGGCAUACAGUAUAAGGUAUACCAGUAUUAUUAUCUAUAUGUUAUAAAUGAAGGUGGGGUUGACAGUGAAAUGGUGACUCAUAUAAGGCUGUCCAGUGAGUUUAUAGAAAGGAAUGUGAAGUUUCUUUUCAGUUCAAAUCAAAGCAAAAUGUUAUGGGAAAAGAAACAGAAGUGCUCUAGGUGAAUGUAAAGUGUUUUUCACUUUUACUAAUAAUAAUGGGGUGGGGGGAGAAAUCAAUUAAACCGGAAAUCUUACUUUCAGUUCAUUGCAAAUUAAUCCUGUGCCAGUCUGGUUUAUUGGAAAAGCCUGAAUAAAAGAACUGACAAAGAACUUCUUUGAAUUGCACCUUCUUGUUUAAAGGUGCAAUUCAUGUAUUUGGCAAGGACAUUAGGGACUUUUUGUCUAGGGGAAACCCAGCAGAAGUAUGUUUCCAUAUCUCAUGACCUUUUUACAAAAGGGGGAAUUCCAUUUACUGAAUUACUUCCUCUGUGUCAUGAUGACAGUCUGGCAGACUGCCAGAUUUUGGCAAACCGCUGCAGAUAACUUGCUAGCUCAGUGUAACAUGAAUAUUGAACAUGAAGUAUCAAACUAGCGUUCUGUGACUGCAAGUUCUUAAUAAAGUUUUGGUCUCUUGCCAUAGUCUUCUCCUGCUUAGUUUCACAAUUGUAUUUUUCCCUUCAAUAUCUGACUGCCUGUGGUUUUUCAUAUGUGACAAUAUUAAAUUCUUGUGUGCUAGUUCUGUCACGUAUGAAAGUUAGAGAAAAGAAAUCAAAUGAGCCCUUUAGCCAAUGUAGAUUUUAAAUUGUGUUAUAGACAGAUUUAAAUUUUAAUUAAAUAUAGCACUAUUACUCUUUA
This is a long non-coding RNA of Elgaria multicarinata webbii, 3120 nucleotides long. RefSeq lists it as uncharacterized. NCBI's taxonomy places the organism in Eukaryota, Metazoa, Chordata, Lepidosauria, Squamata, Anguidae. The record is from RefSeq and is a predicted model, not a curated record. The transcript is spliced from 2 exons.